Molecule: non-coding RNA, 126 nt
Filed under: Oerskovia sp. Root918
Lineage: Bacteria; Bacillati; Actinomycetota; Actinomycetes; Micrococcales; Cellulomonadaceae
Also listed under: 1 other name
Description: TPP riboswitch aptamer (THI element)
Rfam family: TPP riboswitch aptamer (THI element)
About the family: Vitamin B(1) in its active form thiamin pyrophosphate (TPP) is an essential coenzyme that is synthesised by coupling of pyrimidine and thiazole moieties in bacteria.
Source: Rfam by way of RNAcentral
GGUGAACGACAGGGGAGCGCCGACCGCCCGGAGACAACGGGCAACAGGCGCUGAGAGUGCGGACCACCGCAGACCCUCGAACCUGAUCCGGUUAGCACCGGUGGAGGAAGUCGGGCUUCUCCAGCC